CAGCCGCCGCGGUAAUACGUAUGUCACAAGCGUUAUCCGGAUUUAUUGGGCGUAAAGCGCGUCUAGGUGGUUAUGUAAGUCUGAUGUGAAAAUGCAGGGCUCAACUCUGUAUUGCGUUGGAAACUGUGUAACUAGAGUACUGGAGAGGUAAGCGGAACUACAAGUGUAGAGGUGAAAUUCGUAGAUAUUUGUAGGAAUGCCGAUGGGGAAGCCAGCUUACUGGACAGAUACUGACGCUGAAGCGCGAAAGCGUGGGGAGCGAACAGGAUUAGAUACCCCAGUAGUCCCUGUCUCUUAUACA
This 301-nucleotide ribosomal RNA is filed under the name uncultured bacterium. RNAcentral describes it as "partial 16S ribosomal RNA". It matches the Rfam family "Bacterial small subunit ribosomal RNA", at positions 509 to 808 of the family's 1533-position model. The record is from RNAcentral.